RNAcentral lists this ribosomal RNA (260 nucleotides) under uncultured bacterium. RNAcentral's name for it is "partial 16S ribosomal RNA". It matches the Rfam family "Bacterial small subunit ribosomal RNA", at positions 96 to 353 of the family's 1533-position model. The record is from RNAcentral.
UGGCGGACGGGUGAGUAACGCGUGGGUAACCUGCCCUGUACAGGGGGAGUAACAGUCAGAAAUGACUGCUAAUACCGCAUAAGACCACAGCACCACAUGGUGCAGGGGUAAAAACUCCGGUGGUACAGGAUGGACCCGCGUCUGAUUAGCUGGUUGGUGAGGUAACGGCUCACCAAGGCGACGAUCAGUAGCCGGCUUGAGAGAGUGAACGGCCACAUUGGGACUGAGACACGGCCCAAACUCCUACGGGAGGCAGCAUG